This 424-nucleotide ribosomal RNA is filed under the name uncultured prokaryote. RNAcentral describes it as "bacterial SSU rRNA". It matches the Rfam family "Bacterial small subunit ribosomal RNA", at positions 355 to 796 of the family's 1533-position model. The record is from RNAcentral.
UGGGGAAUAUUGGACAAUGGGGGCAACCCUGAUCCAGCCAUGCCGCGUGAGUGAUGAAGGCCUUAGGGUUGUAAAGCUCUUUCGCCGGUGAAGAUAAUGACGGUAACCGGUAAAGAAGCCCCGGCUAACUUCGUGCCAGCAGCCGCGGUAAUACGAAGGGGGCUAGCGUUGUUCGGAAUUACUGGGCGUAAAGCGCGCGUAGGCGGUUUGCCAAGUUGAGGGUGAAAUCCCGGGGCUCAACCCCGGAACUGCCUUCAAAACUGGCCGACUUGAGUCCGGAAGAGGAGAGUGGAAUUCCCAGUGUAGAGGUGAAAUUCGUAGAUAUUGGGAAGAACACCGGUGGCGAAGGCGACUCUCUGGUCCGGUACUGACGCUGAGGUGCGAAAGCGUGGGGAGCAAACAGGAUUAGAUACCCCUGUAGUCC